This 720-nucleotide ribosomal RNA is filed under the name Microbacterium sp. RNAcentral's name for it is "bacterial SSU rRNA". It matches the Rfam family "Bacterial small subunit ribosomal RNA", at positions 754 to 1470 of the family's 1533-position model. Lineage: Bacteria; Bacillati; Actinomycetota; Actinomycetes; Micrococcales; Microbacteriaceae. The record is from RNAcentral.
CGAAAGGGUGGGGAGCAAACAGGCUUAGAUACCCUGGUAGUCCACCCCGUAAACGUUGGGAACUAGUUGUGGGGUCCAUUCCACGGAUUCCGUGACGCAGCUAACGCAUUAAGUUCCCCGCCUGGGGAGUACGGCCGCAAGGCUAAAACUCAAAGGAAUUGACGGGGACCCGCACAAGCGGCGGAGCAUGCGGAUUAAUUCGAUGCAACGCGAAGAACCUUACCAAGGCUUGACAUAUACGAGAACGGGCCAGAAAUGGUCAACUCUUUGGACACUCGUAAACAGGUGGUGCAUGGUUGUCGUCAGCUCGUGUCGUGAGAUGUUGGGUUAAGUCCCGCAACGAGCGCAACCCUCGUUCUAUGUUGCCAGCACGUAAUGGUGGGAACUCAUGGGAUACUGCCGGGGUCAACUCGGAGGAAGGUGGGGAUGACGUCAAAUCAUCAUGCCCCUUAUGUCUUGGGCUUCACGCAUGCUACAAUGGCCGGUACAAAGGGCUGCAAUACCGCGAGGUGGAGCGAAUCCCAAAAAGCCGGUCCCAGUUCGGAUUGAGGUCUGCAACUCGACCUCAUGAAGUCGGAGUCGCUAGUAAUCGCAGAUCAGCAACGCUGCGGUGAAUACGUUCCCGGGUCUUGUACACACCGCCCGUCAAGUCAUGAAAGUCGGUAACACCUGAAGCCGGUGGCCCAACCCUUGUGGAGGGAGCCGUCGAAGGUGGGAUCG